RNAcentral lists this ribosomal RNA (366 nucleotides) under uncultured eukaryote. RNAcentral's name for it is "bacterial SSU rRNA". It matches the Rfam family "Eukaryotic small subunit ribosomal RNA", at positions 592 to 1018 of the family's 1831-position model. The record is from RNAcentral.
CAGUAGCGUAUAUUAAAGUUGUUGCAGUUGAAACGCUCGUAGUCUGAAAUUAAUCCUUUUAUAGGAAGAACUGUUCACCCUAAUUACCUUGGUCGUUAGGUCAGUGACGGUCAUUCACCUUGAUGAAUCUAGAGUGUUCAAGGCAGGCCUAGCCUGAAUACUGCUGCAUGGAAUGAGAUUGAUAUUAUAUCUCUCUCGGAUCGGAGAGAUCAAAGUAUCUUAAGAAACAGUCGAGGGCAUUAGUACUUGACCGUCAGAGGUGAAAUUCUUGGAUUGGUCAAUGACUAACAAAAGCGAAAGCAUCUGCCAAGGAUGUUUCUUUGAUCAAGAACGAAGGUCAGGGGAUCGAAGAUGAUUAGAUACCAU